GGAGAGGUGGCCGAGCGGCUGAAGGCGGCACCCUGCUAAGGUGUUGUGCGGGCAACCGUACCGAGGGUUCGAAUCCCUCCCUCUCCG
RNAcentral lists this transfer RNA (87 nucleotides) under Geothermobacter ehrlichii. It matches the Rfam family "tRNA". Rfam says of the family: Transfer RNA (tRNA) molecules are approximately 80 nucleotides in length. Their secondary structure includes four short double-helical elements and three loops (D, anti-codon, and T loops). The record is from Rfam by way of RNAcentral. Lineage: Bacteria; Pseudomonadati; Thermodesulfobacteriota; Desulfuromonadia; Desulfuromonadales; Geothermobacteraceae.